GGUAGAACACGAGUCUUCAAUCUCUUUCAAAUCAAACAGGCCAUCUCCCCAACCUGGCAAAAUGGAAGAACCUAUUGGACUGUUGACAAGGAGCCCAAGACUCCAGCACAAGGAGUCCAUGUGGUCUAAAUACAGGAAAUUUAAAUUAACAAAUACUCACACACUUUUAUUACCCAGCCUUGCUGAGUAUAUCCUUUAGCAGACUUGUCAGAACAACAACAAAAAAAAAAUGAGCCAGAUUCUUUUUCUGCUCUGAGAUAGUCAGCAUGUUGGAAAGAGCAUUGACUGACUUUGAAAUGAAAAGACCUGGGCUUUAGAACCCUGGCUUACUUACUUGCUCUCUGGAUGAUCACUUAACCUCACCUGUGAAACAGGAGUCUCCAGGCCAUUAAUGACGAUUAAAUAAAUUAUAUACAAAAGUGCCUGGCAUAGAAUCUGGCAAGGGGUAGGUGUCCUGAACAUUAAAUAUUCUUAUUUCCUCUUUCCCUCCUGAGGUAGGUCAUGGCUGGUAUCAAGGGUCACCAAUGCUGUGACUUCCAAGGUGACCCCAAGGUGAGCCAUGGUGAGCCCCUGAUGUAUGGUCUAAAACUCAAACCACACCUGCUGUAUGAGGUGGGGCUGAACAUGGUGCUGGGGUGAAGGGGGUCAGGUGAUAAGGGUGAGCCCCAGCUGCACCCUCUAGAUCCAUUGGGGUGUUCUCACCCUCAUCCCCCCUCCAGCUGUCAGACAGAAACUGCCCCGGGCACAAUCCUCCGAAUAUGGGUGUAGGACUUCCUGAUGGUGACACUGCCGUGGUGUGACACUCCUCGGGGCAGGACACACUCUUCUGUCAGUUUCUGGGCUUCUGGGUCCCAGCACAACACUGUGGCAAUGACCUCGUUCUUCUCAUCCCGGCCCCCGGUAAUGUAGAGCCGGUUGUUGCAAGGUGCGAUCCCACAGCUGGCCCUCUCGUGGCUGAGCUGGGUCACCAGGCACCAGCUGUCUUCCAAAGGGCAGUAGGCAUACAGGGCUCGCAUUGCCCCACCUGAAGAGGAAGGAGAACAUACAUGCAUGGGCAUCCCAUGGGCACAUGGCUAGGUCAAGUCCACUAUCCCGCCAAAACAGACAAUAAUUUGAUGGCUCUCCAAAAUGCUGGAAUGGAUCAGGAGGGCAGAAAGUUUCUAAUGCUGGAGACACUUCACAGUGCCCUUUCAUUCUGCAACCAAAGUGAAUCAGCUUCUAGAGGACACCUGGCUCAGGUGCAAAUCAGGUUCUAAAGGACAUGUGGCUUACCAUGGCUACUAAAAGGCACUCUAAACCUAUUCCCUGGGAGAAGUACCACCUGACAACAUCAGAUAGACUCAGCUUAUUAUCCCAGCUCUGCCUCUUUUUGAUCUAUAACCAUGAGCACCACCACCCUGGUGUUUAGAGGAAUUCGGAAGGACCACACACAUAAAACUACUAGAAGAGGGCCUGGCACACAAAAUCCAUCAACAGAUGGCAGUGGCUACAGAACUCCCGGAGCAAGCAGAGGGAGCAAAAUCUCCAUGAAUUGCCAACUUCUGACGCAUCUCCUGGGCCACAGGUGUGUCAACCUGUUUUGUACGUCUCCAAAUUGUAGCUGAGUCUGCUCCCAGGACUGCAAGGGAAGUUCACCAAGGCCUGGACCAACCCCACCUAGAUCAUCCAAGAAUUUUGUCUGAUCAGCCCACUGGAUGCCUGAGACUGAGGGUAGGAUACCUCGAGUGAAAAAAAGAAGCCAAUCAUUCACUUACCGACAACAUAGAUGCGGUCGCGGAAACUCACUGCAUUGAUGCAUUUAGCCUCCACCGGCAUGGGCGACUUUAAAUUCCACUUAUUGGUUGAAGGGUCAUAACACUGAGUCUUGUCUGUGGCCAGUUUCCCAUUAGGUCCUCCCCCAAUCACAUAGAGCUUCUUCUUGUGGCUGGUGGCUGCAAAGGAGCUGACGUGGACAAGGAGGGGCGCAGCCUGCGGAGACAUGGGGCAUGAGAAGAAGCCGUCAGUCAAGCUGCCCAGAUGGCUGCAGUGGCUCACAGAACACAGAGACCAUCAACUUAAGCCUGGGCAUCCUUUGCCUGAAGUCACAAGGCCUGUAGAUUUGAUUCCCCUUGAGACACAGAGCAGAUCAAGGCCUUUCCCUCCCUCCAGACUCUGGGCAGGCCAGAGCAGGCUGAGUGCUGGGAUGUUUCCAGACUGUUUCUUCCAGGGCCCAGCUCUCAGGGGAGGAGAGCUAUGAGCAGGAACCAGUGUUUAUACAGAUGAGGCCAGCUAGUGCUGGAGGAAGUGUGUUUUCACACAUGCAUAUUCAUAUUUAUUCACUCAAAAAAUUCUACUGAGUGCCUACUAUGUGCCAGGCAUUGUCCUUGGUGCUCAUAUCCAAGAAGAAAAGCUGGUGUAAGUGUUUAAGGUGGCCCCAGGCAAGCAGCCUCUUCCACUCGGGGCAACACUGCGAACUUUGUAAUUAAGCCAGGCAUAUAUUUCCACCCCGUGAACCUCUUGCCCAUUAUGUGACCCUCUUGGGUCAUGAAGCAAGUCUGUGGUGGGACUUGACAAUUUGAGAAGAUCUUGGGCAUGUCUGUCAUAAAUGUUAAGGGCCCACUCUAUAGCACUUUUCAGGUUUCCAGGUUGUGGCCUAGAUGCCUUGGUGACCUGGCUACUUUUGCUUGUGCCUACAAUGACCAUGUUUUAUAAUCCCUAAAGCUGGACCAUCCUCUGACAUAUGAUCCAACAAGAAGAAAAUUUGAAAUUGGGAAUAACCUGAAAAUAAUAGGAGGUGAGAGUGCUUUACCUUUUCCUAAGUAUGGUGUGUACCUAUGGUUGUAUUGUUGAAGUCUUGCAUACAAACAUGUAAAUAAAUAAUGGUUGACUUCUAAACACUACCAAGUGGCUCUGGGUCCAGCAAACAGUGUAAUAAAGGGGUCACCAUGUGUCCAGAGUAGAGAAGAAAAGGGCAGAUGGCAUCUGAGGAGGCAGAGACCCUGGGCCAAGACAUGUAGACCAAGGGGUCCACUAGCUAAGCAGCAGUGUGAGCCUCCCUGCUCCAGGUCUGGGGUCUGACCUGAAUGGGACAUGUGCCAACUCAGAGCCCCACUUCCUGGAAAGAAAUCAUUUUCCAUGACCCAGUCAACAGUACUGAAGCAGAGGCUCCUAAGUGGAGGGGAGCUGAGAGCCACCAAAAAUGUUCUCACUGGGAAAGAGAGACCAGAAAGCUGGCUGCCCCCAGGCACACACUUUUUUAAGCUUUGAGUUAAAAAUAGGAAGGCUCUCCUGUACCUCUGACCAGCAGUUGUGGAAGGGGUCGUAGGUCUCCACGUUGUUGAUCCGCUGCAGGCCGUCAAAUCCUCCGAUCACAUAGACCUUCCCGCCCAGCACCACCAUCUUAUGCCUCCAGCGGCCUAUGUUUAGAUACUCAAUUUGAAUCCAUUUGUUGAUCGAGGAAUUGUAUUUCCAAACAUCGUGCUGUGUUUCUUUGCCACCUACAAGAGAUGUAAAGCAUUUGAGAAACCAGCAGAUUUGUUGGAAAUAGCAGCUUUUCCCAUGAUUCCCCACAAGUCCUUAGGUGCUAAGUCCCCAGGCUAUCCCCACACUAAGGGACAGGAGGGUGCAAAGGAAAUCCUGACGGCCUGUGCAGGUGAGUGGGGAGAGAACAGGUUGAGGCAGGGGUGAAUUGGGUGCCUGGCUCCGAGCUUGUAUCACCUGAGUGUGGUGAGAGCUCAGAGAAGAGGCAGAUAAGGGUGAGUUGAGUCCAGAGAAGGCUUCAGGGAGGUGAGCCCCAGGCUAGCCUGGAUGGGAGUGAGAGACCCCAUAUGGAGGCCGGAAAGAGUUGAGGCGGUAAGGUAGGAAGUCAGGCUGGGUAAGUAAGGCGGGGACCGUUUUGUGUGGGUGGGGCCUUGAACAGCAGACAAUUUAGAAGGCAGAUGAAGUUCUAUAUUUGCUCAUUUAUUAACAACAAACAAAAACAUAAAUACAAACCUAGGGAAAUCACCAAGAAAUCUUAGAAAAAGCUCUUGGUUUUUAUCUCUAGCCUACAUGAAAAUGUAGGCGGGGUGGGUGUGUCCUGUUUUUAAAUAGUCUGUUUCUUAUAAAAGUAGGAGAUGCUCACAAUAGAUCAUUUGAGUGUGAGCUAGUAAAUAUUUUCUUCCAGACUACUCUCCAAAUAAAUAGAAAAUACGUAAUACAGCAGUUUGGGAGAGAAACCAAGACAAAGGAGAACUGAAUUUUUCAGUGACUUUAAUCAAAUAUUUUAACAGCUUUGUGCUUUCAUUUUCCCAUCAGUCCAGAGAACCACAACAGCUUCAAACAAAAGAUCGCCUUUUCAGACAUGUAGCCGCUGGUGGUGUAGUAAAUAUCACUGGCAACACUUUCUGUCUUGGAUAGAAUUUCUUCAGCACAAAACCAGAAAUGGGAUUUCUAGGGCAGGAGGCUGGCACAUCUUGAAUUUUCAUAGGUGCUGGCAAAAAGCCCUCCAAAGCCUUGCCAGUUUACCUUUCCCCACACCCCACCAACAGCAAAUAUUAGGACUUUGCAUUGCUUUGUUUUGUUUUUACAUUUAUAGUCUGCUGGAGAAAAAGGAUCUCACAGUUUGUUUUUCUCUGACUACAAGAAAGGCUGAGCUUGCUCCUCUUCUGUAAAUUUCCUAUUCAUAUAUUUUGACCAUAUUUCUUUUGAGUUGGCCACCUUUUAGAGUUCUCUAUUUAUUAAAAAAAAAAAAAACUGCAAUAUUGAUCCCAUUUAGACAGUGUCAAAAUUAUAAAAUAACUAUAACUUUAAAAAGAAAUAUAUACAACCUUUAUUUUUUAAAAAAAUGACAACUCUUUGAGUUUAAUUCAGGAUGUAAAAGAAGACCUGAAUAACUGGUAAGGCAUAGAUGUGCAGAGAUGUGCGUAGAUGGGAAGACAUGCUUUCGCAAAGGUGUCAACCUCCCCCAGGUUAAUCUAUAUAUUCGGUGCCUUUAGGACUUUUUAGGGAACUUGACAAGAUACUUCUGAAUUUCAUUUGGAAGAGGAAUUUUGGAAAAAUUGCUAAGAAAGUUUUCAAAAAAAGAAGGGGGGGCUUUCCCUAUCAAAUAUCAAAAUACACUAAUAUGUUAUGAUACAAACAGUGUGGUAUGAGCAUAAGACUAGAACAACUGAUCAAUUAAAAGCAAGAGUACAGAAAUGGACCAAAAUAUGUAAAGAUCAUUAAAUAGACAGUAGUAGAACAUCAGCUAUUUAUUUGUAGAAAAAAUUAAGUUCAUUUCCUUAUUUCAUGUCACACUUAAAAAUGUAACUCAAACGUAAUGCUAUAAAAGUAACUGGAAAUAAUCUAGGAGACCUCAUUAAUGUUCUUGGGGUGGAAAGGGUCUUCCUAAACAUGACAUGAAAUCCAGAGACAUACAGGAAAGAAAAUGACUAGAUAAAAUAUAAAUUAAAGGUAAAAGACAGCAACAGUCUGGAAGAAAGUAUUUACAAUGCAAAUAGCAAGGGAUAUAUAAUAAGAGCUCCAAAAAUUAAUAAGAAAAAUAUUUAAAAAAAAAAACCUGUAGAAAAGCAAAAGGUAUAAACAGAUUUUUUUUAAAAAAUACACACAGUCAGCUAAUAUAUGAAAAUAUGCUCAACCUCGUUAAUGAUCUGGGAAGUAUAAAUUUAAACAUUCUAGUCUAUUACAAAUGUAAACAACUGAUGAUAAAAAAUGUUAGCAAGGAUGUAGAAAAAUGGACACUGUCAUUCAUCAUUGGAUGAACUGUAAGUUGGUAAAACCUUUCUGGAGGACAAUUUAGCAACAUCUACCAAAUUUCUAAAUGAACAUGUCUCAUGAAGACUUCCAGGAAUCUCUCCAAAUACUAGCACAAGUACAUAAAGAUAUAUACACACACACACACACAUAUAUAUACACACAGACAUACAUAUACAAGAAUGCCUGUUGUGGUAUUUUUUUUUUUCAGUGGGGGAAAAAAAGUUGAAAACAACUGAGAGAAUGAAUUAAAAAAAUUGUGAUUCAUCCAUUCAAUCAACUGCCCUGCAACUGUUAAAAAGAAUAGCAACAGUGAUAAUGAUGGCUGACGUUAUUGAGCUUUUCCUAUGUGCUUGGCAUUGUGCUAAGUGCUUUACAUGUUUUAUGUCACUUAGCACAAUAUGAGAGAUCCAUUUAUACCAACAUGUAAUGAUGUCCAGAAUAGAUUGGUAACUGAAGUACAAGUUUGGUUGAUUGAAUUAUUUACAAGAUGCUUUUGUACAUUGCUUGCAUAUUGUAAGAGGGGAGGACAACUUAUAGAGUAUCAUGUAUAAUGUAUAUGGCAAAGACUGAUUAUGAUUUACCAAAUCUGUCUUUUUCUCUUGGGCAUAUAGUAAACUGCCUUACUGAAUUUCACAGCCCACCUACAUCUGGGGCUGGGGGUGUGUGGAUGGGUGUGUGGCUGGUUCUUGACUUUGGAAUGUGAGCAGAAGGGACACAUCACUUCCAGGCUGAUGUUAUGAGUAGGUGGGACUUCUCAGCUCACUCACUCUCCCUCCUUUCUCCAAAGGCAUCAACCUUGAAGGCCACAUGUAGAAAAUGACAGCCUCAUAAGAAGAAAGGAGCCUAGGUCCCUGAAAGACUAGUGUGUUGAUUCAUGGAGAUUUAGGGUUUGUUACAGCAGCUCACGUUCCUUAUUCUAAGUCAAUAUGAAACAAUUUUUUGUAGAAGAUUGAAACAUAUAGAAUUGUAAUGGCACAGAGAGACUGCCAUAUUUUGCUUUAUGUUCUCUGCAUUGUAUAAUCUUCUACAACAAUUAAACAUUGUUUCUACAAGAUAAAAGAAAGCUGUGACCUACUGAAUGGUAUUAAUGUAUCCAAAGAAGAACUGAACUGCCCUUGACUUCGCAGAAAGCCAGCUCUGGGAAGAAGCUCUUCCCAAAACCAGUUCAGAUCAGAGAAACCCUCCAAGAGAUGAGAAAAGAGGCUUGUCCUCUCCCUCGGAGUCCCGAGAAGAGUCAGCUGGCUUUUGAUGUGAUAGAAAGAGCAUAGCAACAGAGAACCUGGGUUGUAAUCCUGCCCGAUACCUUAUGUCGCCUUAGGUGUGUUCAACACCUCUCUACGCCUCAGUUUUCUCCAUCUGUAACCUGGAGACUAAAAGCAGCUGCAUUAUAAAGUUGAUAUGGGGAGUGAAUGAUGAAAUUCUAUUAAGGAGUAAAUUUAUCUGCUAAGCUGUAAGGAUGAUGGAGACCACAUCAAUCAAUGAAUAUUUAUUGAGCAUUUACUAUAUGGCCAGACACAGUGCUAAGUCCUGGGGAAAUAGGGCUGACUUUCAUGGAACUUAAGGUCAAAUGGGAAAGGCAGACAUAAAGUAAUUGCAUGUAAUUUAGAAGUGAGCAAUGAACAAGUACUGGGUGCUACUGGAGUGUAUAAAAGUAUGACCAAAUAAACUUGUGGAGGGGGGCAGCGAUCAGGUUUGGGAGGAAGAUCAAACAUUUUUAUUCAUUAAUGUAUUCAUAGUGCAUUAUGCCCAUAGCAGACACUGAAUAAACUCUAUGAUAGCUUUUCUUCUCCCCUUUUCCAUGAAGGACUUGACCUGUUUGCCUGUUCUCUCAGAUCCUGGUACAAUGCUGCUCACAGCUCAGCAUUUACUAAAUCAUAAUGUGCUUUCCAUAUUCUGGUCACUGUCAAGACCACCUGAGCUCCUGGUUUCUAUACUCCGACCCAUUCAGGGCUAGAUCGUCGCCCACUCACAGUAAUUCUUCUAGGAUGAUUGUCUGGCUCUGUCUCAGGACAAUACGUAGUGCCAUUAUGGGGGCCUUACUUUGGCAUCACGUGGCUCCUGCUUACCUGAGAUGUAGACCUCAUUUUUUAAUGUCACGCAUGCAAACUCCACCCACUUCUUAUUCUCACUCUCCAGCUCAUGCUCAGUCAGUGGGAGCUUGGCCACCUCCAGGCGGCUGCGCCUCAGGGGAUCCAGGCAGGUUACCUCCGCCACAAACCGUUCAUCCUUCGUGCAGCCGCCAAUGAUCAUGAACACCUCAGACUGGAACUCAUGCAUCCUGGGCUUGGUGCGCUCCGAAAUGAUCUGGAAACCAAUGGGAGUAGAUAAAGGCAGGAUAGCACAAUAACUCGGGGCCCAGGCUAUGGAGCCAGAGAGAGGAGUCCCCAGUUCCCAACUCUGCCACUGUAUGGCCAUGUGAUUUGACCUCCUUGAGUGUCAGUUUUAUCAUCUGUAUAAUAGAGAUUUUAGUGUUAACUGACUCAGAAGUUUGUUGUAAGAACUAAAUGAGAUAAUAGAUGCUCAAUAAAUGUUACCUGCUGUUGUUUUUAUGGCUAUUUUAAGAGGUCCAGUUCUCUCUACCAUCAAAUGCACCUUCUGCUGCUCCCUUCCUGCCUAGUCUGAAGCCUUGCAUCCUGGAACUUCACUUCUUUUGCCACCUCUCACUCCCCCUGGUUUCAAUUUUUUUCUGUUAUCCCAGACUUUGCUUCCUACAAGCCUCCUUCCUGAAGAAAAGUCCUAGAAGGUAGGCAUAUGAGCAUUCAGAGACUUAGGAGGAAAGAAUCAGAAGGGAGCAAGUGUGGCCAAGGAAGUUAGGGGCUAGUUCCAGGACCUUGGAGAA
Molecule: RNA transcript, 8554 nt
Organism: Choloepus didactylus (southern two-toed sloth)
Lineage: Eukaryota; Metazoa; Chordata; Mammalia; Pilosa; Megalonychidae
Gene name: eukaryotic initiation factor 4A-II-like
Exons: 3
Source: RefSeq, a predicted model, not a curated record